AUCCGCCUGACGAGUCUCAGAUAGGACGAAACGUGUGUCCUGGAU
Molecule: non-coding RNA, 45 nt
Filed under: Schistosoma curassoni
Lineage: Eukaryota; Metazoa; Platyhelminthes; Trematoda; Strigeidida; Schistosomatidae
Source: RNAcentral